Molecule: unclassified non-coding RNA, 248 nt
Filed under: Schizothecium glutinans
Lineage: Eukaryota; Fungi; Ascomycota; Sordariomycetes; Sordariales; Schizotheciaceae
Description: sequence contains 5.8S rRNA gene
Rfam family: 5.8S ribosomal RNA (bases 1-53)
Source: RNAcentral
GAACGCACAUUGCGCCCGCCAGUAUUCUGGCGGGCAUGCCUGUUCGAGCGUCAUUUCAACCAUCAAGCGCCUGCGCUUGUGUUGGAGCCCUGCGGCUGCCGCAGGCUCCCAAACCCAGUGGCGGGCUCGUCGUCGUACCGAGUGCAGUAAAUUUACCACGCUCAGGGCGCGCGACGGGUGACCGGCCGUAAAACCCCCCAACUUAUCAAGGUUGACCUCGGAUCAGGUAGGAAUACCCGCUGAACUUA